RNAcentral lists this ribosomal RNA (164 nucleotides) under Hanguana sp. Pedersen 1004. RNAcentral's name for it is "5.8S ribosomal RNA". It matches the Rfam family "5.8S ribosomal RNA". From Rfam's summary of the family: 5.8S ribosomal RNA (5.8S rRNA) is a component of the large subunit of the eukaryotic ribosome. The record is from RNAcentral. Lineage: Eukaryota; Viridiplantae; Streptophyta; Magnoliopsida; Commelinales; Hanguanaceae. RNAcentral also lists the same sequence under 1 other name.
ACCACGACUCUCGGCAACGGAUAUCUCGGCUCUCGCAUCGAUGAAGAACGUAGCGAAAUGCGAUACCUGGUGUGAAUUGCAGAAUCCCGCGAACCAUCGAGUCUUUGAACGCAAGUUGCGCCCGAGGCCCCCGGGCCGAGGGCACGCCUGCCUGGGCGUCACGC